Homo sapiens (human) is the source of this 965-nucleotide long non-coding RNA. Ensembl annotates it as long intergenic non-protein coding RNA 2290. Lineage: Eukaryota; Metazoa; Chordata; Mammalia; Primates; Hominidae. The record is from Ensembl.
GUGGCCUGGAGGAUGGGACACCAUGAUUUGCAAGACUCUGGUCACAUGCCCACACCUGUGGCUUCUGAAGCAGAGCACCAGCAGUGACAGUCCCACCAGAACCGCAUGGAAUAGAAAACUGUGCAUUUCCCUAAGGAAAGGGAAUGCCAGAGAAGGGCAGAAGGGAAAUCAGGAAGACAAAACGUGUCUUCAUGUUGGAGUGGACCUUUCCUCUAUCUGUCAACAGAAUGGAUAAAUUGUGGAAGAGUAAUAUCAGAAUACUACACAUCAGUAAAAAACAACAAACUUCUGCUACAAACAAUCAACAUCGAUGAAUCUUUCAGGCAAAAGGGCAUCCAAAUGGAGGCUAAUGAGUGCAUCCCAAAAUGCUGGUCCAACAUGAUCAAUACAGACUCCUUGGCUGGAUUCUCAGAAAUAUGGAUUCCAAUGCAAAAGGUUAAUGCCUACAAUAAGUGUUCUUGAAAUACAGUCACGCGUUGCUUAACCAUGGGGAUAUAUUCUGAUAAAUUCAUCAUUAGGCGAUUUCAUCACUGGGCGAACAUCACAGCUCGUACUCACACAAACCUAGAUGUCAUAGCCUACUACACACCUAGGCUAUAUGAUAUAGGCUAUUGCUAGCAACAAACCUGUACAGCAUGUUACUGUCUUGAAUACUUAGGCAGCAGAGCACAAUGUUAUAGAAACAGAUGAUCAGUGGCCCACGGAUUCCAGGUGAGGAUCUGGGACCCAGACAUCCAGAUAUUGAAAACACAGGGAUGGAGUCUGUAUGGAAAAAAUUAAAAUAUAGCAAAAUGUGAAAUACGGAAGAGAAAUCUUUCAAUUUCCCAAUGGAAGUGAGAAAAGAGCAAAGAAAAGUAUUGGUCUUCCAAAACAAAUAGAGGACGGAGCUGCUGCUGUUGCAUGGUGUCUAGAAACUCAGACAACUUCAUCAUUCCAUAUUUGCAUCCAAGAGAGAGAAAGAAAAA